RNAcentral lists this ribosomal RNA (156 nucleotides) under Prunus dulcis (almond). RNAcentral's name for it is "rRNA 5_8S_rRNA". It matches the Rfam family "5.8S ribosomal RNA". From Rfam's summary of the family: 5.8S ribosomal RNA (5.8S rRNA) is a component of the large subunit of the eukaryotic ribosome. It is transcribed by RNA polymerase I as part of the 45S precursor that also contains 18S and 28S rRNA. Lineage: Eukaryota; Viridiplantae; Streptophyta; Magnoliopsida; Rosales; Rosaceae. The record is from RNAcentral.
GACUCUCGGCAACGGAUAUCUCGGCUCUCGCAUCGAUGAAGAACGUGGCGAAAUGCGAUACUUGGUGUGAAUUGCAGAAUCCCGUGAACCAUCGAGUCUUUGAACGCAAGUUGCGCCCUAAGCCAUUAGGCCGAGGGCACGCCUGCCUGGGCGUCA